CUUGGAAAAAAUUUGUCUUAUCACACGCAGCAAUUUGCUUUAUCCCCACAAAAAAAGAAAAGGAAACGACACAGUGGACUGCCUCAACAUUGCUCGGCAUUGUUCGGCUAGGUUAUAAGAGCAAAGAGUAUUGUGCUGCCAACAGUGAAGAGUAUUAUUAGUUCAAGGUUUUACAAAAUUACAUUGAAAAUUCUGGUUUUGUUACCAAAAGGUGGCAUGAUUAAAUGUUUUGUGUCAAUAAACACACCGCAAAGAACGUUAAAAAGGAGCGUUGACUCAGAAAUGGUUUUGGUUCAAGCGAUAGUUACCCUACAGUUCCGCAAUAGGCUCGCCCUGACAUAUCAGACGACAAUAAGCUUUCUGUUUUUUUUGUGCCUAAAACUCUGGCCGCUGUCGACGUUAGCAGAGAAACCGGCGUAGCGUAGAAAAGUGGCGAAAAAACGGUCGUGCAGAUCUUUGUAAAUCCCUCUCUUUCUGUGACUUAUAAUCUGCCUGCCCGCGGCUCUCAGGGAGACAACCUUUGAAUGGUCCUUUUGUUUUGAGCCUCUCCGUUAUGUUCAGAAAGAAACCAAACGAAAAAGAGCUGAUGCAAU
Molecule: RNA transcript, 593 nt
Organism: Drosophila biarmipes
Lineage: Eukaryota; Metazoa; Arthropoda; Insecta; Diptera; Drosophilidae
Exons: 4
Source: RefSeq, a predicted model, not a curated record